ACCUGUCCAGAGUGAAACCAGAGCUUCUGCCUGCAUGGAACAAGAGCAAGAGAAAGGUAGCCGAGGAGACUGACCUGCUUAUCCAUGCUACUUAUCAGGAACUGUGGAACCAUGGAGAACAUGACCCUGGCCCUCCCUUCAGGAUCUGCCUGAGAUCUGGCUGCCUCUUGAGACACUAGAGCCCUGGAUUCAAUUGCGGAACAUUAUGUUGGAGAAUAUAAACACUUCUAGACUGUGCCGGCAUUUGGGAAGGAAUAGUCUGUUUUGACUUGAAUGAACAAAGACAUACGUCUCUGGGCCUGGGGAAGGCUUACCAGCUCAGCUCAUCUACUGUCUGGUGGCAAACAUGUCCUGGGUACUGCCACUACCCAGGACACUCUUCCUCACUCUGUCCCUGUCCAGUUACCGCACCCUUCCCUGUCUGACCCCGCCUCCUGUGCCCACUCGCCUCUGGACCCAGAGAUUCUUCUUGUUUGCUCUAUCAUCCUUGAGCCGGAUACAGGGUGAAUAGUUAACCACACUUGGGUUGAAUGGGAUCUUGAUUCUUAUUUCUGUUCCUUGGAAAGAGGGGUCAGACUCGGUGCGUGGCACCCGGCCUGGAAGCAGCACAAGACUCCAGAGUGAUACAUGAUCUGCCUGGAUGGUCCCAGGGGCUCUUUGGAGGUCAGAGCAAGAGGAGCAGCCUGAGCAGGGGGGCUGAGGAGGGCCGGCACUGGAUCACACGCAGGCGUAUGUCUGGAUAGGCAGAGAGGAACCCACUUUUCAUUCCCUCUUCUGUGACACAAAUGCAAGGAACUUUGAAGACACUCUUCGGAGGUUGCAAUCGGAGAUCAGCUUAUCCAAGGGCUUCAUGUCUGAGCUCUGUUGGUCGUGCCUCCUGAGGACCUCUUUCCUCUACUGUAUGCUGAUGACACACCCAUCCGAUGGGAGCUGGAGCCUUGUCUGGUCCUUUCCUCUAUGACCCCACGUGUACAGUUGGAAAUCCUUCCUAAUCAUGCCUUGAUUCCCCCUUUUCGACUACACUCAAAGAUGUUUGAGCUGUUUUAUUUGCAAAAUGGAUGGACAGUUUGUUUAUAUAAAACAAUCCCAGCUUCCUUGUGCUCUAUCUGGUGUGUUUGUAUGGCUCUUCAGUGACUUUAAAGUGGAGCAUUGACCUUGGCCUCUUUGAUUCUCCAUGGUGGAAUAGAGAAGACCUCUUGAGGAUGCUUAAUGUUGCUGAGAUCUUAAGAAGGCUUGCAGACUUCCUCUUCCUCCCUCCUUCUCCCACCUCCUCCUUCCCUAAGCAGCCUCUGCAUUGUAUAAAUUCCUUUAUAUAAAUUCCUCUG
RNAcentral lists this long non-coding RNA (1325 nucleotides) under Mus musculus (house mouse). Its description in RNAcentral is "lincRNA-EC62". The record is from RNAcentral. Lineage: Eukaryota; Metazoa; Chordata; Mammalia; Rodentia; Muridae.